Molecule: long non-coding RNA, 323 nt
Organism: Sander lucioperca (pikeperch)
Lineage: Eukaryota; Metazoa; Chordata; Actinopteri; Perciformes; Percidae
Exons: 4
Source: RefSeq, a predicted model, not a curated record
UUUUUGUGUCGCGUCAAGAAUUCCUGUAGCAAGGUUUUCACACCCAGCAGCUGGCUUCCAGUUGAGUUAGUCUCUGAUGUUUGCAGCAGACAUCAUGGCGACUGCAGCAAUAGAUGAUCUGCCUCCUCUGAAGUGCAGUAGCAGCUAUGAGAUGCUGCCACCUUACAUGUCUGAGCUGAGGGUUGUUCUGCUGGGAAACAGCUGCUCUGAGAGGAAAUCAGUGGGGAACUUGAUACUGGGAGAGACUGUGUUCAACAAAGCACCUGAAUGUUGUUUGAGAAUCAGUGGAUCGUUGCAGGAGAAAAAAGUAGUUGUCGUCAACA